CCUACGGGAGGCUGCAGUGGGGAAUAUUGGACAAUGGGGGGUACCCUGAUCCAGCCAUGCCGCGUGUGUGAAGAAGGCCCUCGGGUUGUAAAGCACUUUCAGUGAGGAAGAACGCCUGGUGGUUAAUACCCAUCAGGAAAGACAUCACUCACAGAAGAAGCACCGGCUAACUCCGUGCCAGCAGCCGCGGUAAUACGGAGGGUGCGAGCGUUAAUCGGAAUUACUGGGCGUAAAGCGCGCGUAGGUGGCUUGAUAAGCCGGUUGUGAAAGCCCCGGGCUCAACCUGGGAACGGCAUCCGGAACUGUCAAGCUAGAGUGCAGGAGAGGAAGGUAGAAUUCCCGGUGUAGCGGUGAAAUGCGUAGAGAUCGGGAGGAAUACCAGUGGCGAAGGCGGCCUUCUGGACUGACACUGACACUGAGGUGCGAAAGCGUGGGUAGCAAACAGGAUUAGAUACCCCAGUAGUC
RNAcentral lists this ribosomal RNA (465 nucleotides) under Vreelandella stevensii. Its description in RNAcentral is "partial 16S ribosomal RNA". It matches the Rfam family "Bacterial small subunit ribosomal RNA", at positions 338 to 795 of the family's 1533-position model. The record is from RNAcentral. Lineage: Bacteria; Pseudomonadati; Pseudomonadota; Gammaproteobacteria; Oceanospirillales; Halomonadaceae.